AGUGAACGCUGGCGGCAGGCCUAACACAUGCAAGUCGAGCGGCAGCGGGUCCUUCGGGAUGCCGGCGAGCGGCGGACGGGUGAGGAAUGCAUCGGAAUCUGCCCUGUCGUGGGGGAUAACCUAGGGAAACUUAGGCUAAUACCGCAUACGACCCACGGGUGAAAGCGGGGGAUCGCAAGACCUCGCGCGAUAGGAUGAGCCGAUGUCCGAUUAGCUAGUUGGCGGGGUAAGGCCCAACAAGGCGACGAUCGGUAGCUGGGCUGAGAGGAUGAUCAGCCAAACUGGGACUGAGACACGGCCCAGACUCCUACGGGAGGCAGCAGUGGGGAAUAUUGGACAAUGGGCGCAAGCCUGAUCCAGCCAUGCCGCGUGGGUGAAGAAGGCCUUCGGGUUGUAAAGCCCUUUUGUCCGGGAAGAAAUCGUCUGGGCUAAUACCCCGGGCGGAUGACGGUACCGGAAGAAUAAGCACCGGCUAACUUCGUG
RNAcentral lists this ribosomal RNA (483 nucleotides) under uncultured bacterium. RNAcentral's name for it is "partial 16S ribosomal RNA". It matches the Rfam family "Bacterial small subunit ribosomal RNA", at positions 30 to 507 of the family's 1533-position model. The record is from RNAcentral.